CAAAAAAAAAAAAAAAAAGAAAGAAAGAAAAAAUGAGGCAUGGCAGCACGUGCCUGUAGUCCCAGCUACCUGGGAGGCUGAGAUGGGAGGACCACCAGAGCCCAAGAGGUUGAGACUGUAGUGAGCUAUGAUCGCACCACUGCACUCCAGCCUGGGCAACAGAGAGAAACCCUAUCUCAAAGAAAAAAUAUAAAAAAAAAAAAGAAAGAAAGAUAAUAUUCCAGUAAAAGUCCAAGUUUUUUUUUUACUUUCCCUCUCCACCACCUCCCCUAGAAGCCUCCACCCACAAGCCCAUCCAUUCUGUUUUCCACUUUUUUUUUUUUCUUUUUGGAGUCAGAGUCUCGCUCUGUCGCCCAGGCUGGAGUGCAGUGGCACGAUCUUGGCUCACUGCAACCUCCUCCUCCUGGGUUCAAGCGAUUCUCCUACUUCAGCCUCCUGAAUAGCUGGGAUUACAGCUGUGCGCCACCACGCCCAGCUAAUUUUUGUAUUUUUAGUAGAGAUGGGGUUUCACCAUGUUGGCCAGGCUGGUCUCGAACUCCUGGCCUCAAGUGAUCUGCCUGCCUCAGCCUCCCAAAGUGCUGGGAUUACAGGCAUGAGCCACCAUGCCCGGCCUCUGUUUUCCACUUUUGCACACAUAUCCACAGAUCCGUGAUCAUGAUACUGAAUAUUCUUCGAUCUGAUUUUCCUUUUUAAUUCGCAUAGGCCAGAGUUCAGCAAACUGUUUGUUGUAAAGGACCAGACAAUAAAUACUUUCGGCUGGGCGUGGUGGUUCACGCCUAUAAUCCCAGCACUUUGGGAGGCCGAGGCGGGCGGAUCACAGUGUCAGGAGAUCGAAACCAUCCUGGCUAAAGCGGUGAAACCCCGUCUCUACUAAAAGUACAAAAAAUUAGCCGGGCAUGGUGGCAGGUGCCUGAAGUCCCAGUUACUCAGGAGGCUGAGGCAGGAGAAUGGUGUGAACCUGUGAGGUGGUGCGGCUUGCAGUGAGCUGAGAUCGCGCCACUGCACUCCAGCCUGGGCUACAGAGCGAGACUCCGUCUCAAAAAAAAAAAAAUUUACUGUAUUCCAUUGUCAAUAUAUCUUUGACACUUUCACAAGUCAACAUAUGUGUCAUGUAUGAUAUUCCAAAACAGGCAUUGCUACCUUAAAAUGUGGUGGUUAUAAGCACCGUGGAGAGAACUUGACUCUUUGAGUCCAAUUUUUUUUUUUUUUUUGAGACAGAGUCUCGCUCUGUUGCCCAGGCUGGAGUGCAGUGGCGUGAUCUUGGUUCACUGCAACCUUUGCAUCCUGGGCUAAGUGAUUCUUGUGCCUCAGACUCCCCAGUAGCUGGGAUUACAGGUGUGUGCCACCACACCCAGCUAAUUUUUGUAUUUUUAAUAGAGAGGGGGAUUUCACCAUGUUGGCCAGCCUGGUCUCGAACUCCUGACCUCAAGUGACCUGCCCACCUUGGCCUCCCAAAGUGCUGAGAUUACAGGCGUGAGGCACCAUGCCUGGCCUGAGUUCAAAUUACUACUCAGCUAUUAGUAGCUGAGGUGGGGCUGAGGGUGGGCUCUCUGGAUUACACCUCAUUUUCCCUGGAGAUAAUAGCAUCUAUCUGAUGGGAUUGGGAAAAAGAUCGGGUGAGAGCCAGGUGCAGUGACUCUCACCUGUAAUCCCAGUGCUUUGGGAGGUUGAGUGGGAGGUCGCUUGAGCCCAGGAGUUUGAGACCAGCCUAGGCAACAUAGCAAGACCCACAUCUGUGUGUGUGUGUGUGUGUGUGUGUGUGUGUGUGUAUAAUUUAGCUGAGUGUGGUGGUGCACGCCUGUAGUUCCCAGAUACUCAAGAGGAUGAGGUGGGGCCAGAUGUGGUGGCUCACACCUGUAACCUCAGUACUUUGGGAGGCCGAGGUGGGCAGAUCACUUGAGGUCAGGAGUUUGAGACCAGCCUGGCUAACAUGGUGAAACCCCAUCUCUACUAAAAAUACAAAAUUACAUCCUGGCUAACACGGUGAAACCCUGUCUCUACUAAAAAUACAAAAAAUUAGCCGGUUGUAGUGGCAGGCACCUGUAGUCCCGGCUACUCGGGAGGCUGAGGCAGGAGAAUGGCGUGAACCCAGGAGGUGGAGCUUGCGGUGAGCCGAGAUCGUGCCACUGUACUCCAGCCUUAGCCGGGCGUGGUGGUGCACGCCUGUAAUCCCAGCUACUCGGGAGGCUGAGGCGGGAAAACCACUCGAACCUGGGAGGUGGAGGUUGCGGUGAGCUGAGAUAGUACCACUGCACCCCAGCCUGGGCAACAGAGUACAACUCUGUCUCAAAAAAGAGCGAAAAAAAAAAAAAAAAAGGCUGGCAUAGUGGCUCACGCCUGUAAUCCAGCACUUUGGGAGGCCGAGGCGGGCAGAUCACUUGAGGUCAGGAGUUCAAAGCCAGCCUGGCCAAUAUGGCAAAACCCCGUCUCUAGUAAAAUUCAAAAAUUAGCCGGGCAUGGUGGGGCACGCACCAGUAAUCCCUGUGGCUGUUGGUUAUAGGGAGUGGAUUCCUAUGUAACAUUCAUUGAACUGUCCCUUUAAGAUUCAUAUACUUGGGUGCAUAUGAAUUCAACUUGAAUAUGGAUUAACAAAGAGAAAGUAACAUGUGGUUGGUGAUGGGGGAAAUGAACCCUCUCAGGACUUAGGGUGGGAGUGAAAAGACUGACAAUGAUUUGGGCAACAGUCCAGCAGUAUUUAGUAAGACUGAGAAUGUAUCUUCUCCAUGUCCCUGGGAGAAGUCCCUGAAGUUCCCCUUCUCUGUAGCUACCGUAGAGAAACACUGUAGAUUGUCACUUGGAUUUUUUUCCGAGAUGGUAUCUUGCUCUGUUGCCCAGGCUGGAGUGCAGUAGUGCGAUCUUGGCUCACUGCAGUCUCAAACUCCUGGGCUCAAGUGACCCUCCCACCUUACCAUGCCUGGCUAACUUAAAAAAAAAAAAUUUGUGUAGAGAUGGGGUCUUGCUAUGUUGCCCAGGCCAGUCUCAAACUCCUGGCCUCAAGUGAUCCUCCCACCUCGGCCUCCCAAAGUGCUGGGAUUACAGGCGUGAGCCACUGUGCCAGGCCUGCCAGUGUCUUGAUCUUGGACUUCCCCGCCUCCGGAACUGUGAGAAAUCAAUUUCUGUUGCUCAUAAAUUACCCAGCCUGGCCAGGCACUUUGGGAGGACGUGGUGAGAGGAACGCUUGAGCUCAGGAGUUCAAGAUCAGCCUGGGCAACAUAGCAAGACCCCGUCUCUACAAAAUAAAUAAAUGAAUAAAUAAAUUACCCUGCCUAAGAUAUUUCUGUUCUAGCAGCAGGGACAGAUGAAGACACACACACGUACACACAUGGCCUGUAUGCAGUUGUGGGUGAAGUUUAUUAAGGCAAUACUGAAUACCAGAGCAUUUCAACAAGGCUUACCACACAGGCUGAUAUUCAGGGACAUCGGUGUA
RNAcentral lists this long non-coding RNA (3427 nucleotides) under Homo sapiens (human). Its description in RNAcentral is "HSALNT0254900". Lineage: Eukaryota; Metazoa; Chordata; Mammalia; Primates; Hominidae. The record is from RNAcentral.